GUCUUGAUGAAAAUUCAAGAUGAUGCCUGCCCAGUGGGGAGAAAUUUAAAAAUAAUAAAAUUAUUUUAACCUCUCUAAACGGAUGCGGUAACUCUGACUGUAAUAAAGUAGCAUAAUUAAUUGUCAUUUAAUUGGUGGAGAGAAUGAAUGGCUAAACGAACGCUUCAUUGUCUUGGGAGGAAGUUUUUGAAAUUAGAGUAAUAGUGAAGAUCCUAUUACAAACCGUUAGACGAAAAGACCCUAUAGAGCUUGACUAUAAAUCUGGGGAAAUUCUGAUUUGGUAGUUUAGUUGGGGCGACUAUCUUUUAAAUAGAACAAAGAUAAGCAUGAGAAUGGUAUAUUUUAUUGUCUAAUUAAUAUUUUUAACAAUUACUAAAGUAGGCUAUACUGACCCAUUAAGUAAAAUAAAUAGACUUAAUGAUUAAUAAAUAAAAGCUACCUUAGGGAUAACAGGAUAAUUUUGUUUUAGAGAUCUAAUCAAAUACAAAGUUUGUCACCUCUAUGUUGAAUUAAGAUAACCAAAUAAUGCAGAAGUUAUUUAAGGUAGGUCUGUUCGACCUUUAAAAUCUUA
RNAcentral lists this ribosomal RNA (571 nucleotides) under Ectopleura dumortierii. RNAcentral describes it as "partial 16S ribosomal RNA". It matches the Rfam family "Bacterial large subunit ribosomal RNA", at positions 1816 to 2598 of the family's 2925-position model. Lineage: Eukaryota; Metazoa; Cnidaria; Hydrozoa; Anthoathecata; Tubulariidae. The record is from RNAcentral.